This 253-nucleotide ribosomal RNA is filed under the name uncultured bacterium. RNAcentral describes it as "partial 16S ribosomal RNA". It matches the Rfam family "Bacterial small subunit ribosomal RNA", at positions 524 to 776 of the family's 1533-position model. The record is from RNAcentral.
UACGAAGGGUGCAAACGUUGCUCGGAAUCAUUGGGCGUAAAGGGCUCGUAGGCGGCCAACUAAGUCAGACGUGAAAUCCCUCGGCUUAACCGGGGAACUGCGUCUGAUACUGGAUGGCUUGAAUCCGGGAGAGGGAUGCGGAAUUCCAGGUGUAGCGGUGAAAUGCGUAGAUAUCUGGAGGAACACCGGUGGCGAAGGCGGCAUCCUGGACCGGCAUUGACGCUGAGGAGCGAAAGCCAGGGGAGCAAACGGG